AUUGAACGCUGGCGGCAGGCCUAACACAUGCAAGUCGAACGAGUGGCGGACGGGUGAGUAAUGUCUGGGAAACUGCCUGAUGGAGGGGGAUAACUACUGGAAACGGUAGCUAAUACCGCAUACCAUCGGAUGUUCCCAGAUGGGAUUAGCUAGUAGGUGGGGAAAAGGCUCACCUCGGCGACGAUCCCUAGCUGGUCUGAGAGGAUGACCAGCCACACUGGAACUGAGACACGGUCCAGACUCCUACGGGAGGCAGCAGUGGGGAAUAUUGCACAAUGGGCGCAAGCCUGAUGCAGCCAUGCCGCGUGUAUGAAGAAGGUCUUCGGGUUGUAAAGUACUGUCAGCGGGGAGGCGUUACCUGCAGAAGAAGCACCGGCUAACUCCGUGCCAGCAGCCGCGGUAAUAC
Molecule: ribosomal RNA, 406 nt
Filed under: uncultured bacterium
Lineage: Bacteria
Description: partial 16S ribosomal RNA
Rfam family: Bacterial small subunit ribosomal RNA
Source: RNAcentral